AGAAUUACCAGAAUAGCCCUUUGCUGAUAUUAGUUUCACGUAAGAUUACAUAAGGACCAAGAAGUUAUUUUAUGCAAAGUGUUGAAGUAUGAUGCCGAAUAUAUUCUGUAAAAAUAACACUGACUUGUGUGAAAUACACAUCUAAAAUAUUUAUUUUUAUUUAUUUAGUUAAUCCUCACCCAUGGAUAUUUUUCCAUUGAUUUUAGAGAGAGUGGAAGACAGAAAUAUCGAUGUAAAAGAAACUCAUCGAUUGAUUGUGAGGAGCCUGCAACAGAGGCUAGCAAUAUGUGGUAUGAUAUUGACAGCUCCCAAGUCAAAUUGAGAUCUAGAUGACCUCUCUACUGAACUCCACACCAGCAUGUCUACCUGUCUGCCUAUUCAACAUCUCCACUUAAAUGUCCAACAGACUUUCAGAUUGCAACUCAGGAGGCUCCAACAGCAACUAAGUGCUUUGGGAUCAUUCGCACAAAGAUUAAGAGGC
Long non-coding RNA from Myotis myotis, 481 nucleotides. RefSeq lists it as uncharacterized. NCBI's taxonomy places the organism in Eukaryota, Metazoa, Chordata, Mammalia, Chiroptera, Vespertilionidae. The record is from RefSeq and is a predicted model, not a curated record. The transcript has 4 exons.